UACGGGGGGGGCAAGCGUUGUUCGGAAUUACUGGGCGUAAAGGGCUCGUAGGCGGCCAACUAAGUCGGAUGUGAAAUCCCUCAGCUUAACUGGGGAACUGCGUCUGAUACUGGAUGGCUUGAGUGCAGGAGAGGAACGCGGAAUUCCAGGUGUAGCGGUGAAAUGCGUAGAUAUCUGGAGGAACACCGGUGGCGAAGGCGGCGUUCUGGACUGCAACUGACACUGAGAGACGAAAGCCAGGGGAGCAAACGGG
This 253-nucleotide ribosomal RNA is filed under the name uncultured bacterium. RNAcentral's name for it is "partial 16S ribosomal RNA". It matches the Rfam family "Bacterial small subunit ribosomal RNA", at positions 524 to 776 of the family's 1533-position model. The record is from RNAcentral.